GUCUGCUUAUCCAUCCGCCUUUGCCUGGGGAAGUUAUUAGGUCUUCUCUUCUCAGUUAUUUCGAACAUUGCCGGUUUGUCUUUCCCUUACUAUAUCUCCGUAUACAAGACAUGCCCGAUUUGAGCUUCAAUCAAACAUUUUAAUUAGUAUUCAUCGUCUUUUUUUUUUUUUUUUUUUUUUUUGAUAAUUAUUUCAAUUUGUUAUAAUAUUAUUAAUAUUAUGAUCCCAUUGACUAGUGGUUAGUGCCGUACGUUAAUAAAUUAUUAUAAUAAGUAUUCUUAUAGCCUUUGAACGACGUAUAAAUAAUAUUGUGUCCUAGUUUUGGUUCCUAUGUGUUGAUUUGUAAAUAGUAUAAAUAGUAAUGAUUUCAAUGCUUUAGUCUUGAUUACGAUACAAAAAAGUCAAACAAAUCCCGUUUCGCUGAUACCUGAAUGACAGUUAAUUGAAUGUAUCAAAUUGUUGUCUACACUAACAUCAUAAUAUUUUCACGUCAUAUGUAUGGAAAAUGAAAUACUCGUACUUGAUACUUAAUACCUGUACUACGAUUGUUCGAAGUUGGAUAAUGUCUGAAAAAUACCCAUUUGUAUAGGUUCUCUUCGUGAAAAAAUUUCGUACUCUGCAGAUAAUAUUAGUUACCGAUAAUUUCGCGUACGCACAACUUAGUAAUGAUAAAAACGGAAUUAAAUAUUACGGUAAUUUAUCCAACAACGAUUUCCGUUAUUUACUUGUUUUUUUUUUUUUUUUUUUUUUUUUUGGUCAUUCGAUUUAAAAUAACCAUAAAGACCAAACAUAUUACCGAAUACUUAGUAAUAUUGGCAUUUGGCACUUUUGGCGUUGUGGUAUAAUUGAAUAACAUUUAGUUUAGUGUUUUACUAAAAUUGUCCUAUUGCCCUUAGAAUUCAGCAAAAUAUAAGGUUAGAAGCUAACCGUUAAUAGCUCACUGGUAAAGUAAUAGCCCAGCGAGCGCGAGUCUCUUGAUUCGAUUCCCGGUCAGGCCGCUGAUAACGCAAUUUUCCAGACGAGAAACGGCCGCGUCAAUUUCAUCGUUUGUUCUGUCAUGUUUUUG
Molecule: non-coding RNA, 1066 nt
Organism: Cinara cedri
Lineage: Eukaryota; Metazoa; Arthropoda; Insecta; Hemiptera; Aphididae
Source: the annotation of a GenBank genome assembly